ACGAAACCACCCACUCACCCACCACCCAAUUCCCCUCCCCUCUCCAGGUCUCCUCCCGAAACCCCCAAUUCGAAAAUCGAUUGGGGAUUUCGGCGUCCCAAGCUCCCCCCAGAUCCGCGCCUCCGGCCGGUUCGCUCGGCCGCCCCGUCGAUCUGCGGCCGCCGUCGGAGCUGACCGGUCCACGGCUCGAUUCGCCCGGGGGAUUUGUUUCGGGGCUUUUGGUCCUGAUGGCGUCGUCCCCGGUCUCCUACUGGUGCUACCACUGCAGCCGCUUCGUGCGGGUCUCCCCGGCCACCGUCGUCUGCCCCGACUGCGACGGCGGCUUCCUCGAGCAGUUCCCGCACCCGCCGCCGCCGCGCGGCGGCGGCGGCAGCGGCCGGCGCGGGGCCAUGAACCCCGUGAUCGUGCUGCGGGGCGGCUCGCUCUCCGGCUUUGAGCUCUACUACGAGGACGGCUCCGGCGACGGGCUGCGGCCGCUGCCCGGCGACGUCUCGCACCUCCUCAUGGGGUCCGGCUUCCACCGCCUGCUCGACCAGUUCUCGCGGCUGGAGGCGGCCGCGCCGCGCCCGCCGGCCUCCAAGGCCGCGGUCGAGUCGAUGCCUUCCGUGACCGUCGCCGGGGGAGGCGGGGCCCACUGCGCGGUGUGCCAGGAGGCCUUCGAGCCCGGCGCCGCGGCCCGGGAGAUGCCGUGCAAGCACGUCUACCACCAGGACUGCAUCCUCCCCUGGCUCUCCCUCCGCAACUCCUGCCCCAUCUGCCGCAGCGAGCUUCCGGCGGCGGCCGUGCCUGAGGCGGAGGCGGACGCCGGGCUCACCAUCUGGCGACUCCCCCGCGGCGGAUUUGCCGUCGGAAGGUUCGCCGGCGGGCCCAGAGAGCAACUGCCGGUUGUCUACACGGAGCUGGAUGGUGGUUUCAGCAACGGCGUCGGGCCGAGGCGGGUGACAUGGCCAGAAGGAGAAGGGCAGGUGGACGGCGGCGAAGGUCGGAUUCGCCGUGUAUUUAGGAACCUGUUUGGGUGCUUUGGCCGGGGCGGCCGGCCCGAGAGUUCCUCGCAGUCCCGUAGUGGCUGAGCAAUGUUCUUCCUGGUAACUCACUUUCAAUUGAUGAUAGUGGUGAAUAAGUAGGAGUUUAGUAUAAGGAGGAAACCCCAGGUGGUGAGUUAUUGGUUAGUUUGAUGUAAAUGAAGGGCUUGCAUUCCCCCCCUUUUUGUCUCGUUUUAAGAAUUUAGAGUUGGCCAUGAGCAAACUACUCAGAAAUGAAAUUUGAUAGCAAAUCAGGAAGAACAAGCCCAAGCCUUCAAGAACGGGAUAGCAGUGAAUUAUGCGGGAAAUCAGUCACUGGCAAUAUUCUAGGCAAAGAGAACAAUCGGCGUUCUCACUUCUGUAUUGUUUGUGCAUAUACUGGAUUCGUUAAGAUAAAUUUUGAUUUUGCAUUAUGUUGGUCCCAUACAUGAAAUUUCAAUAUACUUGAGUACUUCUAUUUUUAUUGUUAUUAUUCCUCUGCCUAAACCUCUUUUUUGUUUCAACA
RNAcentral lists this ribosomal RNA (1527 nucleotides) under Triticum aestivum (bread wheat). Its description in RNAcentral is "partial small subunit ribosomal RNA". Lineage: Eukaryota; Viridiplantae; Streptophyta; Magnoliopsida; Poales; Poaceae. The record is from RNAcentral.